GUUUUUUCUUCCUUUUUUUUUUUUUUUUUUUUUCCCCUCUCCCUUAACAGCGUUCGAUCUCUGCUGCCGUUUUUAAGAGGCUUUUUAAAAUUCUUGGAAAAGUCUAGGAGUGCCUCAGGAAUUUUACCCUCACUUCUUUAAUUCCUGUAUCAUCAUCAUUCAGCACACGGACUGGAAUGAAAGCUUUUACAGGAUUUCUGUCUUGAGCUGGACUGAAACAAAAAGCAAAGUUAUCUGUGCAGACUGGUAGAAAUGUCUCUUCUGCUGGCUUUGUGGCGACGUGGACUUGUUUCUGAUGCCAAGCCUGACGGCUGUACCGGCAAACACAUGUAUUUACCCAGGCUCACACAAGCUGGUGGUAACUGGUGAAUGUGGGACUUCAGUGAGGAACCAUGUGACAGACAAAUCAAAACCCAAAUUUAGCCAAACAUGGUGAAGGAACAGUCAAACUCGAAGGGCAGAGGGAAUGUGUGUCAGUCCAGUGGCCAAAUAACUGGAAGAACUAGAGGAACUUCAGCAAACUACAAUUACUCUUCUCUCAAGAAGAAUUAGUUAUCCCGUGACCCAGCCAGCCAAGUCUUU
Molecule: long non-coding RNA, 582 nt
Organism: Aquila chrysaetos chrysaetos
Lineage: Eukaryota; Metazoa; Chordata; Aves; Accipitriformes; Accipitridae
Exons: 4
Source: RefSeq, a predicted model, not a curated record